RNAcentral lists this ribosomal RNA (1217 nucleotides) under uncultured bacterium. RNAcentral's name for it is "partial 16S ribosomal RNA". The record is from RNAcentral.
UCCGAACUGAGACCGGCUUUUUGGGAUUCGCUCCACCUUACGGUAUCGCAGCCCUCUGUACCGGCCAUUGUAGCAUGCGUGAAGCCCAAGACAUAAGGGGCAUGAUGAUUUGACGUCAUCCCCACCUUCCUCCGAGUUGACCCCGGCAGUCUCCCAUGAGUCCCCGGCAUAACCCGCUGGCAACAUAGGACGAGGGUUGCGCUCGUUGCGGGACUUAACCCAACAUCUCACGACACGAGCUGACGACAACCAUGCACCACCUGUGUACGAGUGUCCAAAGAGAACCCCGUCUCGGGGGCUUUCUCGUACAUGUCAAGCCUUGGUAAGGUUCUUCGCGUUGCAUCGAAUUAAUCCGCAUGCUCCGCCGCUUGUGCGGGCCCCCGUCAAUUCCUUUGAGUUUUAGCCUUGCGGCCGUACUCCCCAGGCGGGGCACUUAAUGCGUUAGCUGCGGCACGGAACUCGUGGAAUGAGCCCCACACCUAGUGCCCAACGUUUACGGCAUGGACUACCAGGGUAUCUAAUCCUGUUCGCUCCCCAUGCUUUCGCUCCUCAGCGUCAGUUGCGGCCCAGAGACCUGCCUUCGCCAUCGGUGUUCCUCCUGAUAUCUGCGCAUUCCACCGCUACACCAGGAAUUCCAGUCUCCCCUACCGCACUCUAGUCUGCCCGUACCCGAUGCAAGCCCGAGGUUGAGCCUCGGGAUUUCACACCAGACGCGACAGACCGCCUACGAGCUCUUUACGCCCAAUAAUUCCGGACAACGCUUGCGCCCUACGUAUUACCGCGGCUGCUGGCACGUAGUUAGCCGGCGCUUCUUCUGCAGGUACCGUCACUUGCGCUUCUUCCCUGCUGAAAGAGGUUUACAACCCGAAGGCCGUCAUCCCUCACGCGGCGUCGCUGCAUCAGGCUUGCGCCCAUUGUGCAAUAUUCCCCACUGCUGCCUCCCGUAGGAGUCUGGGCCGUGUCUCAGUCCCAGUGUGGCCGGUCGCCCUCUCAGGCCGGCUACCCGUCGACGCCUUGGUAGGCCAUCACCCCACCAACAAGCUGAUAGGUCGCGAGCCCAUCCCCCACCGAAAAACUUUCCAACCCACACCAUGCGAUGCGAGCUCAUAUCCGGUAUUAGACCCCGUUUCCAAGGCUUAUCCCGAAGUGGAGGGCAGGUUGCUCACGUGUUACUCACCCGUUCGCCACUGAUCCACCCAGCAAGCUGGGCUUCACCG